This 559-nucleotide long non-coding RNA is filed under the name Homo sapiens (human). Its description in RNAcentral is "non-protein coding LINC01515:3". Lineage: Eukaryota; Metazoa; Chordata; Mammalia; Primates; Hominidae. The record is from RNAcentral.
ACUGGAGUGAAAAUACAGAAGUUGGUGCCCUUUGCAGCAGCCAGGAGUCCGACUCCUCCUCUUCCUGUGUGGAACCUGGAAUUCAAACGGCUGGAGUCAAAGAAACUUUGAACUAUUUAUGGCCUUUAAUAAUUAAGUAAGGUAUACUCCUGUGAUCAAGACUUGGAGCAUAUUUGUUUCUCUCUGCCUGGUUCCUCUAGAAAUUGGAAACUAUCAGAACAGAGACCAACUCCGUUUCCCGAUCCCUUUGCAAUCUGCAUUGAACCAUGAGUCAAGUUCUUGAUAAAGGAGUGAAAAUGGAUGACAUUUAAGGCACAUCUGAAGAUGGGGAAACCACAGCACAGAAUAAGGCUGGGCCCUUGAAUCAAUAAAUGAAGGAGAACUACUCAAGAGAACAAAACCACCAGCAAUAUCCACCUGUAUUUGUCUUUUCAUAAUGUGUGACACAUGUGCUCAUGGAUUAUUGUCCGAAGCAAGACAUGUGACCAAGCCUAACAUCAACUGGGUGAAGAGCUAUAUGUUCCUUUCUCAAGAGGCACUACAAGUGACAUGCCACUGG